AGAAUCAACGCUGGCGGCGUGCCUAACACAUGCAAGUCGAACGAGAAAGUGGAGCAAUCCAUGAGUAAAGUGGCGCACGGGUGAGUAACACGUGAAUAAUCUACCUCCGAGUGGGGAAUAACUGAGAGAAAUCUUAGCUAAUACCGCAUAACACUUACGAGUCAAAGCAGCAAUGCGCUUGGAGAGGAGUUCGCGGCAGAUUAGUUAGUUGGCGGGGUAAUGGCCCACCAAGACGAUGAUCUGUA
This 245-nucleotide ribosomal RNA is filed under the name uncultured bacterium. Its description in RNAcentral is "partial small subunit ribosomal RNA". It matches the Rfam family "Bacterial small subunit ribosomal RNA", at positions 26 to 285 of the family's 1533-position model. The record is from RNAcentral.